This 24-nucleotide non-coding RNA is filed under the name Gossypium hirsutum (cotton). Lineage: Eukaryota; Viridiplantae; Streptophyta; Magnoliopsida; Malvales; Malvaceae. The record is from RNAcentral.
AUAUAUCUCCAAUCAUGACCGCCC